This 68-nucleotide transfer RNA is filed under the name Otocolobus manul (Pallas's cat). RNAcentral describes it as "tRNA-Pro". Lineage: Eukaryota; Metazoa; Chordata; Mammalia; Carnivora; Felidae. The record is from RNAcentral.
CAAGGAAUAGUUUAAGAAAGAAUUUCAGCUUUGGGUGCUGAUGGCGGGGCUUUUUGCUUCUUCCUUGA